GCUCAGGAUGAACGCUGGCGGCGUGCCUAAUACAUGCAAGUCGAGCGAACGGACAGGAGUGCUUGCACUCCUUGAAGUUAGCGGCGGACGGGUGAGUAACACGUGGGUAACCUACCUAUAAGACUGGGAUAACUUCGGGAAACCGGAGCUAAUACCGGAUAAUAUAUACCUCCGCAUGGAGGAAUAGUCAAAGACGGUUCUGCUGUCACUUAUAGAUGGACCCGCGGUGUAUUAGCUAGUUGGUGAGGUAACGGCUCACCAAGGCAACGAUACAUAGCCGACCUGAGAGGGUGAUCGGCCACACUGGGACUGAGACACGGCCCAGACUCCUACGGGAGGCAGCAGUAGGGAAUCUUCCGCAAUGGACGAAAGUCUGACGGAGCAACGCCGCGUGAGUGAAGAAGGUUUUCGGAUCGUAAAACUCUGUUGUAAGGGAAGAACAAGUACGUUAGUAACUGAACGUACCUGAC
This 470-nucleotide ribosomal RNA is filed under the name Macrococcoides caseolyticum. RNAcentral's name for it is "bacterial SSU rRNA". It matches the Rfam family "Bacterial small subunit ribosomal RNA", at positions 22 to 483 of the family's 1533-position model. The record is from RNAcentral. Lineage: Bacteria; Bacillati; Bacillota; Bacilli; Caryophanales; Staphylococcaceae.